This 177-nucleotide ribosomal RNA is filed under the name uncultured bacterium. Its description in RNAcentral is "partial 16S ribosomal RNA". It matches the Rfam family "Bacterial small subunit ribosomal RNA", at positions 357 to 526 of the family's 1533-position model. The record is from RNAcentral.
GGGAAUAUUGCACAAUGGGCGAAAGCCUGAUGGAGCCAUGCCGCGUGUGUGAAGAAGGCCUUCGGGUUGUAAAGCUCUUUUGUUUGGGAAGAAGGGUGCGAGGUUAAUAACCUCGUACUGUGACGGUACCUAAAUAAGAAGCACCGGCUAACUCCGUGCCAGCAGCCGGGGUAAUAA